UAGCACAGAGAGCUUGCUCUCGGGUGACGAGCGGCGGACGGGUGAGUAAUGUCUGGGAAACUGCCUGAUGGAGGGGGAUAACUACUGGAAACGGUAGCUAAUACCGCAUAACGUCGCAAGACCAAAGUGGGGGACCUUCGGGCCUCAUGCCAUCAGAUGUGCCCAGAUGGGAUUAGCUAGUAGGUGGGGUAACGGCUCACCUAGGCGACGAUCCCUAGCUGGUCUGAGAGGAUGACCAGCCACACUGGAACUGAGACACGGUCCAGACUCCUACGGGAGGCAGCAGUGGGGAAUAUUGCACAAUGGGCGCAAGCCUGAUGCAGCCAUGCCGCGUGUGUGAAGAAGGCCUUCGGGUUGUAAAGCACUUUCAGCGGGGAGGAAGGCGGUGAGGUUAAUAACCUUGUCGAUUGACGUUACCCGCAGAAGAAGCACCGGCUAACUCCGUGCCAGCAGCCGCGGUAAUACGGAGGGUGCAAGCGUUAAUCGGAAUUACUGGGCGUAAAGCGCACGCAGGCGGUCUGUCAAGUCGGAUGUGAAAUCCCCGGGCUCAACCUGGGAACUGCAUUCGAAACUGGCAGGCUAGAGUCUUGUAGAGGGGGGUAGAAUUCCAGGUGUAGCGGUGAAAUGCGUAGAGAUCU
RNAcentral lists this ribosomal RNA (638 nucleotides) under Klebsiella pneumoniae. Its description in RNAcentral is "bacterial SSU rRNA". It matches the Rfam family "Bacterial small subunit ribosomal RNA", at positions 68 to 699 of the family's 1533-position model. Lineage: Bacteria; Pseudomonadati; Pseudomonadota; Gammaproteobacteria; Enterobacterales; Enterobacteriaceae. The record is from RNAcentral.